AGUGAACGCUGGCGGCAGGCCUAACACAUGCAAGUCGAACGGCAGCACGGCAGUAGCAAUACUGUGGGUGGCGAGUGGCGGACGGGUGAGGAAUACAUCGGGAUCUACCCUGUUGUGGGGGAUAACGUAGGGAAACUUACGCUAAUACCGCAUAAGAACUGAGGUUGAAAGCGGCGGACCGCAAGGCGUCGCGCGAUUGGAUGAACCGAUGUCUGAUUAGCUAGUUGGCGGGGUAAAGGCCCACCAAGGCGACGAUCGGUAGCUGGUCUGAGAGGACGACCAGCCACACUGGAACUGAGACACGGUCCAGACUCCUACGGGAGGCAGCAGUGGGGAAUAUUGGACAAUGGGCGCAAGCCUGAUCCAGCCAUGCCGCGUGGGUGAAGAAGGCCUCGGUUGUAAG
RNAcentral lists this ribosomal RNA (403 nucleotides) under uncultured bacterium. RNAcentral describes it as "bacterial SSU rRNA". It matches the Rfam family "Bacterial small subunit ribosomal RNA", at positions 30 to 429 of the family's 1533-position model. The record is from RNAcentral.